GACGAACGCUGGCGGCGUGCUUAACACAUGCAAGUCGAACGGAAAGGCCCUGCUUUUGUGGGGUGCUCGAGUGGCGAACGGGUGAGUAACACGUGAGUAACCUGCCCUUGACUUUGGGAUAACUUCAGGAAACUGGGGCUAAUACCGGAUAGGAGCUCCUGCUGCAUGGUGGGGGUUGGAAAGUUUCGGCGGUUGGGGAUGGACUCGCGGCUUAUCAGCUUGUUGGUGGGGUAGUGGCUUACCAAGGCUUUGUCGGGUAGCCGGCCUGAGAGGGUGACCGGCCACAUUGGGACUGAGAUACGGCCCAGACUCCUACGGGAGGCAGCAGUGGGGAAUAUUGCACAAUGGGCGGAAGCCCGAUGCAGCAACGCCGCGUGCGGGAUGACGGCCUUCGGGUUGUAAACCGCUUUCGCCUGUGACGAAGCGUGAGUGACGGUAAUGGGUAAAGAAGCACCGGCUAACUACGUG
RNAcentral lists this ribosomal RNA (468 nucleotides) under uncultured bacterium. RNAcentral's name for it is "partial 16S ribosomal RNA". It matches the Rfam family "Bacterial small subunit ribosomal RNA", at positions 28 to 507 of the family's 1533-position model. The record is from RNAcentral.